GAGGUGGCCGAGAGGCUGAAGGCAACCGCCUGCUAAGCGGUUGUGGGGAUAAAACCCCACCCAGGGUUCGAAUCCCUGCCUCUCCGCCA
RNAcentral lists this transfer RNA (89 nucleotides) under Nitrospiraceae bacterium. RNAcentral's name for it is "tRNA-Ser". It matches the Rfam family "tRNA". Rfam says of the family: Transfer RNA (tRNA) molecules are approximately 80 nucleotides in length. Their secondary structure includes four short double-helical elements and three loops (D, anti-codon, and T loops). Lineage: Bacteria; Pseudomonadati; Nitrospirota; Nitrospiria; Nitrospirales; Nitrospiraceae. The record is from RNAcentral.